This 71-nucleotide transfer RNA is filed under the name Chelonia mydas (Green sea turtle). It matches the Rfam family "tRNA". Rfam says of the family: Transfer RNA (tRNA) molecules are approximately 80 nucleotides in length. Lineage: Eukaryota; Metazoa; Chordata; Testudines; Cheloniidae. The record is from Rfam by way of RNAcentral.
GCAUUGGUGAUUCAGUGGUAGAAUUCUCACCCACCAUGCUGACGGCCUGGGUUCAAUUCCCGGCCAAUGCC